Molecule: ribosomal RNA, 449 nt
Filed under: uncultured bacterium
Lineage: Bacteria
Description: partial 16S ribosomal RNA
Rfam family: Bacterial small subunit ribosomal RNA
Source: RNAcentral
AACGAACGCUGGCGGCAUGCCUAACACAUGCAAGUCGAACGAAGGCUUCGGCCUUAGUGGCGCACGGGUGAGUAACGCGUGGGAAACUGCCUAUUGGUGGGGAAUAACGACGGGAAACUGUCGCUAAUACCGCAUAAGCCCUUCGGGGGAAAGAUUUAUCGCCGAUAGAUGUGCCCGCGUCCGAUUAGCUAGUUGGUGAGGUAAUGGCUCACCAAGGCGACGAUCGGUAGCUGGUCUGAGAGGAUGAUCAGCCACACUGGGACUGAGACAAGGCCCAGACUCUCACGGGAGGCAGCAGUGGGGAAUAUUGGACAAUGGGCGAAAGCCUGAUCCAGCAAUGCCGCGUGAGUGAUGAAGGCCUUAGGGUCGUAAAGCUCUUUCGGGUGGGACGAUGAUGACGGUACCACCAGAAGAAGCCCCGGCUAACUUCGUGCCAGCCGCCGCCGUAA